AUUCCAUGAUGGAGGCACUUUCGUAAUAAUUAUUUGUACCUUUCCCAUGCCUCAUACAAGGACUCAUCAUCCAUUUGUUGGAAAGUAGUGAUCUCGUUCCUCAACUU
This is a small nucleolar RNA of Gossypium arboreum, 107 nucleotides long. It matches the Rfam family "Plant small nucleolar RNA R71". From Rfam's summary of the family: R71 is a member of the C/D box family of snoRNAs containing the C (UGAUGA) and D (CUGA) box motifs. Multiple nearly identical copies of this snoRNA have been identified in Arabidopsis, and it is thought to function as a 2'-O-ribose methylation guide for 18S ribosomal RNA. The record is from Rfam. NCBI's taxonomy places the organism in Eukaryota, Viridiplantae, Streptophyta, Magnoliopsida, Malvales, Malvaceae.